GCAAGUCGAACGGUAACAGGAAGCAGCUUGCUGCUUUGCUGACGAGUGGCGGACGGGUGAGUAAUGUCUGGGAAACUGCCUGAUGGAGGGGGAUAACUACUGGAAACGGUGGCUAAUACCGCAUAACGUCGCAAGACCAAAGAGGGGGACCUUCGGGCCUCUUGCCAUCAGAUGUGCCCAGAUGGGAUUAGCUUGUUGGUGAGGUAACGGCUCACCAAGGCGACGAUCCCUAGCUGGUCUGAGAGGAUGACCAGCCACACUGGAACUGAGACACGGUCCAGACUCCUACGGGAGGCAGCAGUGGGGAAUAUUGCACAAUGGGCGCAAGCCUGAUGCAGCCAUGCCGCGUGUAUGAAGAAGGCCUUCGGGUUGUAAAGUACUUUCAGCGGGGAGGAAGGUGUUGUGGUUAAUAACCGCAGCAAUUGACGUUACCCGCAGAAGAAGCACCGGCUAACUCCGUGCCAGCAGCCGCGGUAAUACGGAGGGUGCAAGCGUUAAUCGGAAUUACUGGGCGUAAAGCGCACGCAGGCGGUCUGUCAAGUCGGAUGUGAAAUCCCCGGGCUCAACCUGGGAACUGCAUUCGAAACUGGCAGGCUUGAGUCUUGUAGAGGGGGGUAGAAUUCCAGGUGUAGCGGUGAAAUGCGUAGAGAUCUGGAGGAAUACCGGUGGCGAAGGCGGCCCCCUGGACAAAGACUGACGCUCAGGUGCGAAAGCGUGGGGAGCAAACAGGAUUAGAUACCCUGGUAGUCCACGCCGUAAACGAUGUCUACUUGGAGGCUGUGCCCUUGAGGCGUGGCUUCCGGAGCUAACGCGUUAAGUAGACCGCCUGGGGAGUACGGCCGCAAGGUUAAAACUCAAAUGAAUUGACGGGGGCCCGCACAAGCGGUGGAGCAUGUGGUUUAAUUCGAUGCAACGCGAAGAACCUUACCUGGUCUUGACAUCCACAGAAGUUUGCAGAGAUGCGAAUGUGCCUUCGGGAACUGUGAGACAGGUGCUGCAUGGCUGUCGUCAGCUCGUGUUGUGAAAUGUUGGGUUAAGUCCCGCAACGAGCGCAAC
RNAcentral lists this ribosomal RNA (1056 nucleotides) under Salmonella enterica. RNAcentral describes it as "bacterial SSU rRNA". It matches the Rfam family "Bacterial small subunit ribosomal RNA", at positions 57 to 1102 of the family's 1533-position model. Lineage: Bacteria; Pseudomonadati; Pseudomonadota; Gammaproteobacteria; Enterobacterales; Enterobacteriaceae. The record is from RNAcentral.